GGUCUAAUAUCCAACUGGAAGUAGAAGAAACCAUUAGGUUAGAUUCAAUAAUGAGCCUAUUAGACAUAUCUUCCAAAAGUGUGUCAUCCUUCUUAGACUUCAGAUUUUUCAAGAUAGAGUCUCUUGAACUCUUUAAGGUUCCCUCAGUCGUGACCAACAUAUUGACCAAUUUGGAUAAAGAGCAGUUGAUUUUUUUCAUGGGGUAGUUUAUGAUAAACUGACUAUAUGAACUAG
Molecule: long non-coding RNA, 234 nt
Filed under: Elaeis guineensis (African oil palm)
Lineage: Eukaryota; Viridiplantae; Streptophyta; Magnoliopsida; Arecales; Arecaceae
Description: long non-coding RNA (EGUI_LNC054178)
Source: RNAcentral